GCGGGCGUGGCGGAACUGGCAGACGCGCCGGGUUUAGGUCCCGGUGCUCCUUGGAGCUUGGGGGUUCGAGUCCCUCCGCCCGCA
RNAcentral lists this transfer RNA (84 nucleotides) under Solirubrobacterales bacterium. RNAcentral's name for it is "tRNA-Leu". It matches the Rfam family "tRNA". From Rfam's summary of the family: Transfer RNA (tRNA) molecules are approximately 80 nucleotides in length. Their secondary structure includes four short double-helical elements and three loops (D, anti-codon, and T loops). Further hydrogen bonds mediate the characteristic L-shaped molecular structure. tRNAs have two regions of fundamental functional importance: the anti-codon, which is responsible for specific mRNA codon recognition, and the 3' end, to which the tRNAs corresponding amino acid is attached (by aminoacyl-tRNA synthetases). tRNAs cope with the degeneracy of the genetic code in two manners: having more than one tRNA (with a specific anti-codon) for a particular amino acid; and 'wobble' base-pairing, i.e. permitting non-standard base-pairing at the 3rd anti-codon position. Lineage: Bacteria; Bacillati; Actinomycetota; Thermoleophilia; Solirubrobacterales. The record is from RNAcentral.